CCUACGGGCGGCUGCAGUGGGGAAUAUUGGACAAUGGGGGCAACCCUGAUCCAGCCAUGCCGCGUGUGUGAAGAAGGCCCUCGGGUUGUAAAGCACUUUCAGUGAGGAAGAACGCCUGGUGGUUAAUACCCAUCAGGAAAGACAUCACUCACAGAAGAAGCACCGGCUAACUCCGUGCCAGCAGCCGCGGUAAUACGGAGGGUGCGAGCGUUAAUCGGAAUUACUGGGCGUAAAGCGCGCGUAGGUGGCUUGAUAAGCCGGUUGUGAAAGCCCCGGGCUCAACCUGGGAACGGCAUCCGGAACUGUCAAGCUAGAGUGCAGGAGAGGAAGGUAGAAUUCCCGGUGUAGCGGUGAAAUGCGUAGAGAUCGGGAGGAGUACCAGUGGCGAAGGCGGCCUUCUGGACUGACACUGACACUGAGGUGCGAAAGCGUGGGUAGCAAACAGGAUUAGAUACCCCAGUAGUC
Molecule: ribosomal RNA, 465 nt
Filed under: Vreelandella stevensii
Lineage: Bacteria; Pseudomonadati; Pseudomonadota; Gammaproteobacteria; Oceanospirillales; Halomonadaceae
Description: partial 16S ribosomal RNA
Rfam family: Bacterial small subunit ribosomal RNA
Source: RNAcentral